GACUAUUAAAAUUUAAAAUACAUCAAGACCUUUUUUGAUCUUGAUGGAUAUUCAAUUAAUAAUAUAUUCAUAACAAAUAAGAAUUAAUAAGUUUUUUUUAUUAAAUUGAAAGGUGAAAUAAAUUAUAAUGCAAAGCCAAUUACUAGUUCCCAAGCAUUUAAUACAGAUUUAAUACAGGCGAUGAGAAUUUAUUUUUGGUGGCUGAUUUAAUAGAAGCAAAUUACAGAAUAUGGAAGACUGAGCUUAUUACCAGAUUGUUUCCCCCUGAGAUUGCCACGGCCAUCUGUUGUAUUCCACUAUCUGAAUAUGUUGACGAUGAUGUGCCAGUUUGGAAAGGAGAACAUACAUGACUUUACACAGUCAGGAGUGGUUAUCAAAUGUUAACCUAUGCCUCUGAUUAUACAGACUCUACCCAAGGUAAUAUUGACUUUUACAAAAAAAUUUGGUCUCUCCAAAUCACUCCCAAAAAUAAGAUAGCAAAUUGGAGAAUAAUACACAAUUUUAUUCCUACAGCAUCUAUACUUUACAAUAGAAGACUUGCUAUUUCCCCUAUGUGUCCCCGCUGUAAUAUUGAAGCUGAGACUCCGCUACAUAUAAGCACACGGUGUGGCCCUGCACAGGAAGUUUGGAGACAGGUUAAUCUUGAAUGGACUCUAUCUGGUAACCAUGAGGACUACUGGAGCUGGUUUACUCACCUAAUGAGAUCGAGUGACACCCACGCCUGUUUUACCAUCGCCAUUACAAUUUGGGGUUUGUGGUAUGCUCGUAAUAGACAUGUCAUGGAAGGGAAACAACAACAUGCACUAGAAAUUAGUGCCAAAGUUAUCAGCCUUGUUCGUGAACUCAAGGAGUUCAGAGCGAAAUUACCCGAGGCAAGGAUAACGAUGAAGCAAAGCUGGACCCCCCCGACGGAUCCGAUGCUCAAGCUUAACUUUGAUACUGCUUUUCAUGCCCAAAGCCGACAGUCUUCUUCUGGUUUUGUUGUUAGGAACGCCCAAGGCCAGGUUUUGGGAAGUGGUAUGGUACGGAACAAUUUUGUCUCUGAUCCUUUCAUGGCUGAAAUGCUUGCUUGCCUCGGAUGGUCUGCGAUUUGCCACUGACAUGGGUUUCAAGAAUUUAGUGGUUGAAGGGGACUCAAGAUCUACUAUUGUGCGUAUUACUGAGAUGGGUAGGGAUAGAUCUGCAAUUGGGGUUUAUGUUGAAGAAAUUAAGCAAAGAGCUAGAAUGUUUGAUAAAAUAAUUUUCAGAUCUGUUGAUAGGAACGCGAAUCGGGUGGCCCAUAUUCUAGCUAAAGCAAGAUCUACUUUCAAUGAAGACCGAUUUUGGGUAGAGGAUGUACCUGAUAUGGCUGUGUUGGUGGUGAAGGCUGACUGCCCGAUCCCAGUUGCGCCGGAUUAAGGUUUUUCCGUCCUCAGCUAGGGCUCCUUCAUGCUUCAAUUUGGAGCUUCCUUACACUCUUUUGGAUUUAGUUUUGAAACCCUGGUUUUUGCCUUUUCUUUUCUUUAUCUCCUAUCCCAGGAAACCGAGGCUAAUGGGUAUCUUUAUUUAUUGCGCACCGUUUUGUUUAGCUUCUUUAAUAACUGUGCCUCGGUAUUAUUCAAAAAAAAAACAUGAGUUUUAACAAUUAUUCUAUUUAAAUUAAAACAAAGUAAUAUUACUUUCUUAAAAGAAUAGUUUUAAGUGAUUUUAUAAUAAAAAACUCAAACUUAUAAUAAUAUAAUGAAAGAAGUAUAAUUCUAUCACAAAUAAAAAAAAUCAUCACAUAAAAUUUAUAAAACAUAUUUUAUAUAAUUAUAAACAAUAUUAGAUUAUAAAACACAUGAAUGAAAAUAGGAUUAUGUAGUAUAUAUUUAUAAAAAGUUUAAUAUUUAAUUGAAUGGUAAAAUAAAAAUGUUUAGAGUGGGAUUUAAAAUUUGAAUUAUUGUGCCUGAAAUAAAUUAAUUAGGAAAUAUCAAAGGAAAAUAAUCAGCUUGGUUUUUGCCCCACACAAUGCACCGCAGCAACUCUUCUCCCCAUCUUAUCUUAUCUUUUCUAGAGAAACCCUAAUUCACCUCUGCCUUUCUUACCUACUUAACCCAAUAAAAUGGUAGAAUUCUGAAGGGAAAGAAAAACUUUACCUUAAAACAGAAAAAAAGAAUCCUUCCUUCAACUCUAAAAUAUUUACUUUUUCCAUAUCUCCAAGGAAGCCCCAAUUAAAAUUUCACAGUUUUUUUUUUUUGGGGGGGCUUUGGGGCUGUAAACUAUUUUACUGAACUGCUAUUCGUGAUGAUGGAAAAUUCAAGUUUCCCAGAAAGUAAUACAGUCGGCGACAACGUCAGCUUAGAGAAUGAAGAGGAAGCUAAGGUGAAAAAUGAAGAGAGUGAAGGGAAUUUUUCAGGGAACCGUUGGCCAAGGCAGGAGACUUUAGCUUUGUUAAAGAUAAGGUCUGAAAUGGACGUUGCUUUUAGAGACUCUGGUGUCAAGGCUCCUCUCUGGGAAGAAGUUUCCAGGUUUCCUUCCUUUCCUUUUCUUCUCAACCAUGUUUGAUUAUUUUUGAAGUAGGAAAAUGUUGGGUCCUCCACUGAAAAAGUGGGGAAAUUUUGGGUUUUUGCUUAGCUUGGGAUAUUGAUUUCCUUCUAGUUCAAUUAUACUGUAAAUGCAGUAAAAACGUUUUAUGGGUAAAAAACAAGUCUUUUUUUAAAAACUACUUUGUUUCCAUUACACUCUCAAAGUUCAGUAAUCUUAACAAUCUUUUAAAUUUUUUUACUUUUAUUACAUUAUUGUCAAGUUAAAGUAAUUGAUUUCGAGGUGCAAUAAUGGGAUUCCUUUAUCAGGAAAUUGGCUGAGCUCGGGUAUAAUAGAAGUGCCAAAAAAUGUAAAGAGAAAUUUGAGAAUGUUUACAAAUACCAUAGGAGAACCAAAGAAGGUCGGUCUGGAAAAUCAAACGGCAAGAAUUAUAGGUUUUUUGAGCAAUUAGAAGCAUUGGAUCAU
RNAcentral lists this long non-coding RNA (2970 nucleotides) under Gossypium barbadense (sea-island cotton). RNAcentral describes it as "long non-coding RNA (GBAR_LNC021716)". The record is from RNAcentral. Lineage: Eukaryota; Viridiplantae; Streptophyta; Magnoliopsida; Malvales; Malvaceae.